This 492-nucleotide ribosomal RNA is filed under the name uncultured bacterium. RNAcentral describes it as "partial 16S ribosomal RNA". It matches the Rfam family "Bacterial small subunit ribosomal RNA", at positions 28 to 507 of the family's 1533-position model. The record is from RNAcentral.
GAUGAACGCUAGCUAUAGGCUUAACACAUGCAAGUCGAGGGGAAACGGCAUUAUGUGCUUGCACAUUUUGGACGUCGACCGGCGCACGGGUGAGUAUCGCGUAUCCAACCUGCCCUUUACUUGGGGAUACCCCGUUGAAAGACGGCCUAAUACCCGAUGUAAUUCAUUGAUGGCAUCAGAUAUGAAUAAAAGAUUUAUCGGUAAAGGAUGGGGAUGCGUCUGAUUAGCUUGUUGGUGAGGUAACGGCUCACCAAGGCGACGAUCAGUAGGGGUUCUGAGAGGAAGGUCCCCCACAUUGGAACUGAGACACGGUCAAAACUCCUACGGGAGGCAGCAGUGAGGAAUAUUGGUCAAUGGGCGCAAGCCUGAACCAGCCAAGUAGCGUGCAGGAAGACGGCCCUAUGGGUUGUAAACUGCUUUUAUACGAGAAUAAUUUGAUGCACGUGUGCGUUAUUGCAUGUAUCGUAUGAAUAAGGACCGGCUAAUUCCGUG